AUUGAACGCUGGCGGCAGGCCUAACACAUGCAAGUCGAGCGGAUGACGGGAGCUUGCUCCUUGAUUCAGCGGCGGACGGGUGAGUAAUGCCUAGGAAUCUGCCUGGUAGUGGGGGACAACGUUUCGAAAGGAACGCUAAUACCGCAUACGUCCUACGGGAGAAAGCAGGGGACCUUCGGGCCUUGCGCUAUCAGAUGAGCCUAGGUCGGAUUAGCUUGUUGGUGAGGUAAUGGCUCACCAAGGCGACGAUCCGUAACUGGUCUGAGAGGAUGAUCAGUCACACUGGAACUGAGACACGGUCCAGACUCCUACGGGAGGCAGCAGUGGGGAAUAUUGGACAAAGGGCGAAAGCCUGAUCCAGCCACGCCGCGUGUGUGAAGAAGGUCUUCGGAUUGUAAAGCACUUUAAGUUGGGAGGAAGGGUUGUAGAUUAAUACUCUGCAAUUUUGACGUUACCGACAGAAUAAGCACCGGCUAACUCUGUG
Molecule: ribosomal RNA, 484 nt
Filed under: uncultured bacterium
Lineage: Bacteria
Description: partial 16S ribosomal RNA
Rfam family: Bacterial small subunit ribosomal RNA
Source: RNAcentral